This 301-nucleotide ribosomal RNA is filed under the name uncultured bacterium. RNAcentral's name for it is "partial 16S ribosomal RNA". It matches the Rfam family "Bacterial small subunit ribosomal RNA", at positions 509 to 809 of the family's 1533-position model. The record is from RNAcentral.
CAGCCGCCGCGGGAACACGUAGGGUGCAAGCGUUAAUCGGAAUUACUGGGCGUAAAGCGUGCGCAGGCGGUUAUAUAAGACAGAUGUGAAAUCCCCGGGCUCAACCUGGGAACUGCAUUUGUGACUGUAUAGCUAGAGUACGGCAGAGGGGGAUGAAAUUCCGCGUGUAGCAGUGAAAUGCGUAGAUAUGCGGAGGAACACCGAUGGCGAAGGCAAUCCCCUGGGCCUGUACUGACGCUCAUGCACGAAAGCGUGGGGAGCAAACAGGAUUAGAUACCCCCGUAGUCCCUGUCUCUUAUCC